This 1350-nucleotide long non-coding RNA is filed under the name Cucumis sativus (cucumber). Its description in RNAcentral is "long non-coding RNA (CSAT_LNC002154)". Lineage: Eukaryota; Viridiplantae; Streptophyta; Magnoliopsida; Cucurbitales; Cucurbitaceae. The record is from RNAcentral.
UCUUAACAACUCAAAAAACACAUAAACAACACGUAUAGAACUUGGACUUUGUUAACUCAAUAUUUACAUUUGGGGAUCCUUGAUCCAUAAUAAGAGAUUAUAUAUUGCUUUGUGCAAUAUCUCAUGACUACAAUGUUACGGCUCAAAGUACACACAUCUUUACAAAUAUAAAUUAUGCAUAAACAAUUGUCAUAACAUCAAGAGAGUUACUCUCCCUAAAUAUCCCUUGAUAUUCUCAUAACACGGCAACACCCGAACUUGAAGAAAAUACUUGGAAUAGUUAAAGACUACCACACCCGAAGAGCUGAAACAAGAAAGCUUCAUGUUAUCACCUUGAACUCAAGGGUGAGAAUUUUCACUCUCUUGGAUUAUCUUUUUAAUUUUCCCUUAAUUUUUUAUUUUAGAGCUCGAAGACGAGUUUUUUUUAGUGAUGCAGUAGGAUUAGAGUAUUAUGGUUAAAUCAUCAAUUAGAAUUGGUAUUAGUUUCCACUAUUGAAUAGAUUUAGGAUUAGUUUUCUUAGUUUAUUGGGAUUGAGAAUAGUUUUGAUGAUUAAUUAAGAAUAUGAUUAGUUUCCAAUUUUUUAUAAAUAGAAACAUUAUCCUUUUGUUUAAGCAACUUUUUAUUAUUGACAAAAUUGUGUAACUCAAUCUAGUAAAUUUAGAUCCAAAAUUAUUUUAAAUAGCUUAAAUUGUGUAGAGACACAAGAGAAUCUAUGCUCAAGUGAUAAUCUAAAAGGUUUAUACAGUAUACUAAUAGUGUUGGGCACCUUAUCCCGAUAACACUAUGAGUACAAUUCAUUUUGAACUUUUCAGGCUAUUGCUAGAUUUGUUAAUGGUGUGCCAAUUAAAAGGUUAUUUGCAUAAAUGGUUCGAACUACUUGGCGCGUAGACUCUUCCUCCUCCUCCAUGAAUCCCCAUCCCCAUCCCUAUUUGCCUAAGAGUGUAAUAUUUUUGUUGCUCAGACCUCCCAAACCAAGGCCGCCAUUCAGUUGAGAACGAGUGACUUUAUUCCAUUUCACCGAGUGAUUAAUUUUGCUACCCAAGUGACCUUCCCAAAAGAGACUUCUCAGUAAUCUUUCCAAGGAAGAGACCACCUUAACCGGCAUUGCAAAGAGUGACAUGCAGUAAGUUUGGCAAAAUCGAUUUGCAUAUUGUUUGCCUUCCCCUAAGUAUUACAAAGAACAAGAGGAGAGAUGAAUUAGUUUAAAGAAAAAAGAAAAGAGAAGAUGAAAUGGAGGGAGUUAUCUUAGUUAGGUUGAUUUGAAGUUUUGUGCCUUUGAAGUUUUGUGGGGCACAACCACUUUGCUACAACUAUGUUUUCACUUUGCUACAACUAUGUUUUUAUUUAAA